GAUGAACGCUGGCGGCGUGCCUAAUACAUGCAAGUCGAGCGAACAGACGAGGAGCUUGCUCCUCUGACGUUAGCGGCGGACGGGUGAGUAACACGUGGAUAACCUACCUAUAAGACUGGGAUAACUUCGGGAAACCGGAGCUAAUACCGGAUAAUAUAUUGAACCGCAUGGUUCAAUAGUGAAAGACGGUUUUGCUGUCACUUAUAGAUGGAUCCGCGCCGCAUUAGCUAGUUGGUAAGGUAACGGCUUACCAAGGCGACGAUGCGUAGCCGACCUGAGAGGGUGAUCGGCCACACUGGAACUGAGACACGGUCCAGACUCCUACGGGAGGCAGCAGUAGGGAAUCUUCCGCAAUGGGCGAAAGCCUGACGGAGCUACGCCGCGUGAGUGAUGAAGGUCUUCGGAUCGUAAAACUCUGUUAUUAGGGAAGAACAAAUGUGUAAGUAACUAUGCACGUCUUGAUGGUACCUAAUCAGAAAGCCACGGCUAACUACGUG
RNAcentral lists this ribosomal RNA (497 nucleotides) under uncultured bacterium. RNAcentral's name for it is "partial 16S ribosomal RNA". It matches the Rfam family "Bacterial small subunit ribosomal RNA", at positions 28 to 507 of the family's 1533-position model. The record is from RNAcentral.